GAUGAACGCUGGCGGCGUGCCUAAUACAUGCAAGUCGAGCGAACAGACGAGGAGCUUGCUCCUUUGACGUUAGCGGCGGACGGGUGAGUAACACGUGGGUAACCUACCUAUAAGACUGGGAUAACUUCGGGAAACCGGAGCUAAUACCGGAUAAUAUUUCGAACCGCAUGGUUCGAUAGUGAAAGAUGGCUUUGCUAUCACUUAUAGAUGGACCUGCGCCGUAUUAGCUAGUUGGUAAGGUAACGGCUUACCAAGGCAACGAUACGUAGCCGACCUGAGAGGGUGAUCGGCCACACUGGAACUGAGACACGGUCCAGACUCCUACGGGAGGCAGCAGUAGGGAAUCUUCCGCAAUGGGCGAAAGCCUGACGGAGCAACGCCGCGUGAGUGAUGAAGGUCUUCGGAUCGUAAAACUCUGUUAUUAGGGAAGAACAAACGUGUAAGUAACUGUGCACGUCUUGACGGUACCUAAUCAGAAAGCCACGGCUAACUACGUGCCAGCAGCCGCGGUAAUACGUAGGUGGCAAGCGUUAUCCGGAAUUAUUGGGCGUAAAGCGCGCGUAGGCGGUUUUUUAAGUCUGAUGUGAAAGCCCACGGCUCAACCGUGGAGGGUCAUUGGAAACUGGAAAACUUGAGUGCAGAAGAGGAAAGUGGAAUUCCAUGUGUAGCGGUGAAAUGCGCAGAGAUAUGGAGGAACACCAGUGGCGAAGGCGACUUUCUGGUCUGUAACUGACGCUGAUGUGCGAAAGCGUGGGGAUCAAACAGGAUUAGAUACCCUGGUAGUCCACGCCGUAAACGAUGAGUGCUAAGUGUUAGGGGGUUUCCGCCCCUUAGUGCUGCAGCUAACGCAUUAAGCACUCCGCCUGGGGAGUACGACCGCAAGGUUGAAACUCAAAGGAAUUGACAGGGACCCGCACAAGCGGUGGAGCAUGUGGUUUAAUUCGAAGCAACGCGAAGAACCUUACCAAAUCUUGACAUCCUUUGACCCUUCUAGAGAUAGAAGUUUCCCUUUCGGGGGACAAAGUGACAGGUGGUGCAUGGUUGUCGUCAGCUCGUGUCGUGAGAUGUUGGGUUAAGUCCCGCAACGAGCGCAACCCUUAAGCUUAGUUGCCAUCAUUAAGUUGGGCACUCUAAGUUGACUGCCGGUGACAAACCGGAGGAAGGUGGGGAUGACGUCAAAUCAUCAUGCCCCUUAUGAUUUGGGCUACACACGUGCUACAAUGGACAAUACAAAGGGCAGCGAAACCGCGAGGUCAAGCAAAUCCCAUAAAGUUGUUCUCAGUUCGGAUUGUAGUCUGCAACUCGACUACAUGAAGCUGGAAUCGCUAGUAAUCGUAGAUCAGCAUGCUACGGUGAAUACGUUCCCGGGUCU
This 1372-nucleotide ribosomal RNA is filed under the name uncultured bacterium. RNAcentral describes it as "bacterial SSU rRNA". It matches the Rfam family "Bacterial small subunit ribosomal RNA", at positions 28 to 1381 of the family's 1533-position model. The record is from RNAcentral.